GAAAGUCUGACGGAGCAACGCCGCGUGAGUGACGAAGGCCUUCGGGUCGUAAAGCUCUGUUGUUAGGGAAGAACAAGUACCGUUCGAAUAGGGCGGUACCUUGACGGUACCUAACCAGAAAGCCACGGCUAACUACGUGCCAGCAGCCGCGGUAAUACGUAGGUGGCAAGCGUUGUCCGGAAUUAUUGGGCGUAAAGCGCGCGCAGGCGGUCUCUUAAGUCUGAUGUGAAAGCCCACGGCUCAACCGUGGAGGGCCAUUGGAAACUGGGGGACUUGAGUGCAGAAGAGGAGAGUGGAAUUCCACGUGUAGCGGUGAAAUGCGUAGAUAUGUGGAGGAACACCAGUGGCGAAGGCGGCUCUCUGGUCUGUAACUGACGCUGAGGCGCGAAAGCGUGGGGAGCAAACAGGAUUAGAUACCCUGGUAGUCCACGCCGUAAACG
This 440-nucleotide ribosomal RNA is filed under the name Bacillus sp. CR31. Its description in RNAcentral is "bacterial SSU rRNA". It matches the Rfam family "Bacterial small subunit ribosomal RNA", at positions 377 to 808 of the family's 1533-position model. The record is from RNAcentral. Lineage: Bacteria; Bacillati; Bacillota; Bacilli; Caryophanales; Bacillaceae.